RNAcentral lists this ribosomal RNA (503 nucleotides) under uncultured bacterium. Its description in RNAcentral is "bacterial SSU rRNA". It matches the Rfam family "Bacterial small subunit ribosomal RNA", at positions 29 to 526 of the family's 1533-position model. The record is from RNAcentral.
AUUGAACGCUAGCGGGAUGCUUUACACAUGCAAGUCGAACGGCAGCGCGGACUUCGGUCUGGCGGCGAGUGGCGAACGGGUGAGUAAUGUAUCGGAACGUGCCCAGUAGCGGGGGAUAACUACGCGAAAGCGUGGCUAAUACCGCAUACGCCCUACGGGGGAAAGGGGGGGAUCGCAAGACCUCCCACUAUUGGAGCGGCCGAUAUCGGAUUAGCUAGUUGGUGGGGUAAAGGCCUACCAAGGCGGCGAUCCGUAGCUGGUUUGAGAGGACGACCAGCCACACUGGGACUGAGACACGGCCCAGACUCCUACGGGAGGCAGCAGUGGGGAAUUUUGGACAAUGGGGGCAACCCUGAUCCAGCCAUCCCGCGUGUGCGAUGAAGGCCUUCGGGUUGUAAAGCACUUUUGGCAGGGAAGAAACGGCGCUCCUUAAUAGGGGGCGUCACUGACGGUACCUGCAGAAUAAGCACCGGCUAACUACGUGCCAGCAGCCGCAGUAACAC